UGUGACCUCAAAUCAGGUAGGACUACCCGCUGAACUUAAGCAUAUCAAUAAGCGGAGGAAAAGAAACUAACAAGGAUUCCCCUAGUAACUGCGAGUGAAGCGGGAAAAGCUCAAAUUUAAAAUCUGGCAGUCUUUGGCUGUCCGAGUUGUAAUCUAGAGAAGUGCUAUCCGCGCUGGACCGUGUACAAGUCUCCUGGAAUGGAGCGUCAUAGAGGGUGAGAAUCCCGUCUUUGACACGGACUACCAGGGCUUUGUGAUGUGCUCUCAAAGAGUCGAGUUGUUUGGGAAUGCAGCUCAAAAUGGGUGGUAAAUUCCAUCUAAAGCUAAAUAUUGGCGAGAGACCGAUAGCGAACAAGUACCGUGAGGGAAAGAUGAAAAGAACUUUGGAAAGAGAGUUAAACAGUACGUGAAAUUGCUGAAAGGGAAACGCUUGAAGUCAGUCGCGUUGUCCAGGGAUCAACCUUGCUUUUGCUUGGUGCACUUCCUGGUUGACGGGUCAGCAUCAAUUUUGACUGUUGGAAAAAGAUCAAGGGAAUGUGGCAUCUCUGGAUGUGUUAUAGCCCUUGGUUGCAUACAAUGGUUGGGAUUGAGGAACUCAGCACGCCGCAAGGCCGGG
This 616-nucleotide ribosomal RNA is filed under the name Cortinarius clandestinus. RNAcentral's name for it is "eukaryotic LSU rRNA". It matches the Rfam family "Eukaryotic large subunit ribosomal RNA", at positions 1 to 622 of the family's 3401-position model. Lineage: Eukaryota; Fungi; Basidiomycota; Agaricomycetes; Agaricales; Cortinariaceae. The record is from RNAcentral.